UACGUAGGGGGGCUAGCGUUGUCCGGAAUCAUUGGGCGUAAAGAGCGUGUAGGCGGCUCAGUAAGUCCGCUGUGAAAAGUCCAGGGCUCAACCCUGGAAUGCCAGUGGAAACUGUUGAGCUAGAGUCCGGAAGAGGCGAGUGGAAUUCCUGGUGUAGCGGUGAAAAUGCGCAGAUAUCAGGAGGAACACCAACGGCGAAGGCAGCUCGCUGGGACGGUACUGACGCUGAGACGCGAAAGCGUGGGGAGCAAACAGG
Molecule: ribosomal RNA, 256 nt
Filed under: uncultured bacterium
Lineage: Bacteria
Description: partial 16S ribosomal RNA
Rfam family: Bacterial small subunit ribosomal RNA
Source: RNAcentral